AGUGAACGCUGGCGGUAGGCCUAACACAUGCAAGUCGAACGGCAGCACAGUAAGAGCUUGCUCUUACGGGUGGCGAGUGGCGGACGGGUGAGGAAUACAUCGGAAUCUACUUUUUCGUGGGGGAUAACGUAGGGAAACUUACGCUAAUACAGCAUACGACCUACGGGUGAAAGCAGGGGAUCUUCGGACCUUGCGCGAUUGAAUGAGCCGAUGUCGGAUUAGCUAGUUGGCGGGGUAAAGGCCCACCAAGGCGACGAUCCGUAGCUGGUCUGAGAGGAUGAUCAGCCACACUGGAACUGAGACACGGUCCAGACUCCUACGGGAGGCAGCAGUGGGGAAUAUUGGACAAUGGGCGCAAGCCUGAUCCAGCCAUACCGCGUGGGUGAAGAAGGCCUUCGGGUUGUAGAGCCCUUUUGUUGGGAAAGAAAAGCAGCAGGUUAAUACCCCGCUGUUCUGACGGUACCCAAAGAAUAAGCACCGGCUAACUUCGUG
RNAcentral lists this ribosomal RNA (492 nucleotides) under uncultured bacterium. RNAcentral's name for it is "partial 16S ribosomal RNA". It matches the Rfam family "Bacterial small subunit ribosomal RNA", at positions 29 to 507 of the family's 1533-position model. The record is from RNAcentral.